This 253-nucleotide ribosomal RNA is filed under the name uncultured bacterium. RNAcentral's name for it is "partial 16S ribosomal RNA". It matches the Rfam family "Bacterial small subunit ribosomal RNA", at positions 524 to 776 of the family's 1533-position model. The record is from RNAcentral.
UACGGAGGGGGCUAGCGUUGUCCGCAGUUACUGGGCGUAAAGCGCGCGUAGGCGGGUUGGUAAGUCCGCUGUGAAAGCCCGGAGCUCAACUCCGGAGGGUCGGUGGAUACUGCCAGUCUUGAAGGUGCUAGGGGGAGAUGGAAUUACCGGUGUAGCGGUGAAAUGCGUAGAUAUCGGUAGGAACACCAGUGGCGAAGGCGGUCUCCUGGGGCAUUCUUGACGCUGAGGCGCGAAAGCUGGGGGAGCGAACAGG